ACGCUCGACACCUACGGGAGGCAGCAGUGGGGAAUAUUGCACAAUGGGGGAAACCCUGAUGCAGCGACGCCGCGUGAGCGAAGAAGUUAUUUCGGUAUGUAAAGCUCUAUCAGCAGGGAANAAAUGACGGUACCUGACUAAGGACGCCCCGGCUAACUACGUGUCAGCAGCCGCGGUAAUCUGAGGCGGGCUGGCAAGGC
Molecule: ribosomal RNA, 200 nt
Filed under: uncultured bacterium
Lineage: Bacteria
Description: partial 16S ribosomal RNA
Rfam family: Bacterial small subunit ribosomal RNA
Source: RNAcentral